ACUUAAAUUGAAGAGUUUGAUCAUGGCUCAGAUUGAACGCUGGCGGCAGGCCUAACACAUGCAAGUCGAGCGGCAGCGGGAAAGUAGCUUGCUACUUUUGCCGGCGAGCGGCGGACGGGUGAGU
This 124-nucleotide ribosomal RNA is filed under the name Aeromonas caviae. RNAcentral's name for it is "partial 16S ribosomal RNA". It matches the Rfam family "Bacterial small subunit ribosomal RNA", at positions 1 to 111 of the family's 1533-position model. The record is from RNAcentral. Lineage: Bacteria; Pseudomonadati; Pseudomonadota; Gammaproteobacteria; Aeromonadales; Aeromonadaceae.